This 407-nucleotide ribosomal RNA is filed under the name uncultured bacterium. Its description in RNAcentral is "partial 16S ribosomal RNA". It matches the Rfam family "Bacterial small subunit ribosomal RNA", at positions 30 to 526 of the family's 1533-position model. The record is from RNAcentral.
AUUGAACGCUAGCGGGAUGCUUUACACAUGCAAGUCGAACGGAGUGGUGGAAGGGUGAGUAAUAUAUCUGAACGUGCCACGUCGCGGGGGAUAACUACUCGAAAGAGUGGCUAAUACCGCAUACUAUUGGAGCGGCCGAUAUCGGAUUCGCUCGUUGGGUGGGAAAAGGCUCAACAAGGAAACGAUCCGUAGCUGGUUUGAGAGGAAGACCAGCCACACGGGGACUGAGACACGGCCCAGACUCCUACGUGAGGCAGCAGUGGGGAAUUUUGGACAAUGGGGGAAACCCUGAUCCAGCCAUCCCGCGUGUAUGAUGAAGGCCUUCGGGUUGUAAAGUACUUUUGGCAGAGAAGCGGUAUCUGCAGAAUAAGCACCGGCUAACUACGUGCCAGCAGCCGCGGUAAUAC